CAUCGCGUCCGCAACUGGCGAGAAUGAGGUGGAUCAACCACCGGGGAGCGGACAGAUAAUUCCACCGCCGAUCGCCUGGGCAUUUCUG
RNAcentral lists this non-coding RNA (88 nucleotides) under Sphingomonadales bacterium EhC05. RNAcentral describes it as "ZMP/ZTP riboswitch aptamer (pfl RNA motif)". It matches the Rfam family "ZMP/ZTP riboswitch aptamer (pfl RNA motif)". From Rfam's summary of the family: Previously known as pfl RNA. ZMP is also known as AICAR. RNAcentral also lists the same sequence under 1 other name. The record is from Rfam by way of RNAcentral. Lineage: Bacteria; Pseudomonadati; Pseudomonadota; Alphaproteobacteria; Sphingomonadales.